UGGAGGAGACUCUGAUCCAGCCAUGCCGCGUGUAGGAAGAAUGCCCUAUGGGUUGUAAACUACUUUUAUACAGGAAGAAACACUGGUAUGUAUACCAGCUUGACGGUACUGUAAGAAUAAGGACCGGCUAACUCCGUGCCAGCAGCCGCGGUAAUACGGAGGGUCCAAGCGUUAUCCGGAAUCAUUGGGUUUAAAGGGUCCGCAGGCGGUCAAUUAAGUCAGAGGUGAAAUCCCAUAGCUUAACUAUGGAACUGCCUUUGAUACUGGUUGACUUGAGUCAUAUGGAAGUAGAUAGAAUGUGUAGUGUAGCGGUGAAAUGCAUAGAUAUUACACAGAAUACCGAUUGCGAAGGCAGUCUACUACGUAUGUACUGACGCUCAUGGACGAAAGCGUGGGGAGCGAACAGGAUUAGAUACCCUGGUAGUCCACGCCGUAAACGAUGGAUACUAGUUGUUGGGAUUUAUCUCAGUGACUAAGCGAAAGUGAUAAGAUCCCAC
RNAcentral lists this ribosomal RNA (497 nucleotides) under uncultured Bacteroidota bacterium. RNAcentral describes it as "bacterial SSU rRNA". It matches the Rfam family "Bacterial small subunit ribosomal RNA", at positions 372 to 872 of the family's 1533-position model. Lineage: Bacteria; Pseudomonadati; Bacteroidota. The record is from RNAcentral.